RNAcentral lists this ribosomal RNA (300 nucleotides) under uncultured Legionella sp. RNAcentral's name for it is "bacterial SSU rRNA". It matches the Rfam family "Bacterial small subunit ribosomal RNA", at positions 480 to 779 of the family's 1533-position model. The record is from RNAcentral. Lineage: Bacteria; Pseudomonadati; Pseudomonadota; Gammaproteobacteria; Legionellales; Legionellaceae.
CACAGAAAAAGCACCGGCUAACUCCGUGCCAGCAGCCGCGGUAAUACGGAGGGUGCAAGCGUUAAUCGGAAUUUCUGGGCGUAAAGGGUGCGUAGGUGGUUUAAUAAGUUAUGUGUGAAAUAUCUGGGCUUAACCUGGGUCAGUCUUUUAAAACUGUUUGACUAGAGUAUAGGAGAGGGUAGUGGAAUUUCCGGUGUAGCGGUGAAAUGCGUAGAGAUCGGAAGGAACACCAGUGGCGAAGGCGGCUACCUGGCCUGAUACUGACACUGAGGCACGAAAGCGUGGGGAGCAAACAGGAUU